AGCUUUGCGCAGUGGCAGUAUCAUAGCCAAUAAGGUCCAACCAAGGCGCGAUUAUUGCUAAUUGU
Molecule: small nuclear RNA, 65 nt
Filed under: Xenopus tropicalis (tropical clawed frog)
Lineage: Eukaryota; Metazoa; Chordata; Amphibia; Anura; Pipidae
Description: Xenopus (Silurana) tropicalis (western clawed frog) U4 spliceosomal RNA
Rfam family: U4 spliceosomal RNA
About the family: U4 small nuclear RNA (U4 snRNA) is a component of the major U2-dependent spliceosome. The structure of U4 snRNA from yeast and human has been reported. U4 snRNA presents a k-turn RNA motif in the 5p-SL related to recognition of Snu13 protein.
Source: Rfam by way of RNAcentral